Molecule: long non-coding RNA, 3839 nt
Filed under: Homo sapiens (human)
Lineage: Eukaryota; Metazoa; Chordata; Mammalia; Primates; Hominidae
Description: HSALNT0262119
Source: RNAcentral
CCCAGCCAGAGCCGGUGUCUCCGCGCCUUAUAAGGGCUUCGAGUCGGCCCAGGCAUCUGGAAUGUGUCAGGGACCAGGAGGCGGUGCCCGGACCCCCGCCCGCCUCCGGGGCUGCCCGCCCUCUCCCGGAUUUCCGGGGGGUGGGGACCCCGACUCUCAGGGUUGGAGGCCUGCAUUUCUGGAUCCCUAUAAACAUGGGCUGAGAGCCCCCCCAAGAGCAUCUCUAAGACCGGAGUGGGCAGGGACCCGGGCCUCUGAGGGGCUCAGGCUCCAGGCCGGAAACUGCACGCGGUGCUGGCGUCAGGCCCGAGGCCCAGCUACGCCUCCCACGGCCUCCCUAAUCGCCAUUCGGGGCUUGCGGGAGCACCUGGGAGGCUCCACCCGGAGCCAGACACUGCCUGCCCCCACGCCCCUCCAGGACCCUCGAAGGAGAAGGAAAUCGGGACUGGCCCAGCGUCCCGUGCUCUAGAAGGCGGGCUACUGCCCCGUCCCAAGCAGGGGAGGAGGACGAGCGAGGGCGUCACUCAUUCUGUCCCCCGCGGAAGGAUGAGGAAGCUCUGUUUACCUAAAUGAAAAGCUUUCUAGGAGGAAGUCCUAAGUGAACAAUGAUGCAUGAGGAUGCAAUCUUACAGGCAAGGAGCCCAGUGAUAACAAAUGGCUGUAGAUGCUUUUCCUCCAUCAAGCUUCCAGGAGGAGAUGAGAUGGAGCCCAUCGCUGAGCCAAGGUCACCAGCCCCAUUUCACAAAUGUAAAUAGCAGGUGUCCCCCACACAGUCUGAACACUUGGAGGCCAAGAUUCAUUUCUCUCAGGGCCCACCAUCCUCAAGCAUGGGAUUGAUUUAGUGCCUCUUGCUGGGAAGCAAAGUUCUGGGAGCCAUAGUGGGAUCCUCCCUCCCUCCCUGCAGGAGACUGGGGCCCUUCCAAGCAGCAACUGAGACCAGUCAACAACCUCUGCCUUAGGCCAGGCGCGGUGGCUCACGCCUGUAAUCCCAACACUUUGGGAGGCUGAGGCGGGCAGAUCAUCUGAGGUCAGGAGUUCAAAACCAUCCUGGCCAACAUGGUGAAACCCCGUCUCUACUAAAAAUACAAAAAUUAGCUGGGCGUGGUGGUGCGUGCCUGUUGUCCUAGCUACUCCGGAGGCCAAGGCAGGAGAAUUCCUUGAACCUGGGAGACAGAGGUUGCAGGUCUGAGAUUGCACCACAGCAUCCAGCCUGGGCGACAGAGUGAGACCCUGUCUCAAAAAGAAACAAAUUAAAAAACAAAAAACAAAAAACAACCUCUGCCUGCCCUUGGGGCCUAGCAUGAGCCCCUGCACACAGGAGGCUUCUAUAAAAAUAGCUCAUUUCGGGUAAUCUAGGGCAGAACCCAGGCUUUUACCACUUGUGGUUUCUCUUUCUAAAUGUGUAGUUAAAAGCUGUAGGCCAGACCUGGUGCAUGGUGGCUCAUGCCUGGAAUCCCAACACUUUGGGAGGCUGAGGUGGGAGAAUCACUUGAGGUCAGGAAUUUGAGAUCAGCUUGGCCAAUAUAGCAAGACCCUGACUCUUUAAAAAAAAAAUUUUUUUUUUAAUUAGCCAGGCAAGGUGGUUGUGCCUAUAGUUCCAGCUACUCAGGAGGCUGAGGCAGGAGGCUCACUUGAGCCCAGGAGUGCGAGGCUGCAGUGAGCUGUGACUGCACUGCUACACUCCAGCCUGGACAAACUGAGCAAGACCCCAUCUUAAAAAAAAAAAAAAAAAAAAAAAAAAAAAAAGACUGGUUGCAGUGGCUCAUGCCUGUAAUCCCAGCACUUUGGGAGGCCGAGGUGGGCGGAUCACCUGAGGUCGGGAGUUCGAGACCAGCCUGACCAACAUGGAGAAACUCCAUCUCUACUAAAAAUACAGAAUUAGCUGGGUGUGGUGGCACAUGCCUGUAAUCCCAGCAACUCAGGAGGCUGAGGCAGGAGAAUCACUUGAACCCAGGAGGCGGAGGUUGCUGUGAGCUGAGAUCGCGCCAUUGCACCCCAGCCUGGGCAACAAGAGCAAAACUCCGUCUCAAAAAAAAAAAAAAGAAGAAGAAGAAGAAACCCAAACACACACACAAACAAAAUAACAGGUGCAGGCCAGUUAAACAAAAACAACUCAAGAACUGUGCCCUGCAGGGGCGCAUUCAUGUGCGGGUGCCCCCUAGAGGACUCUGAGGGUAGAAUGCAUUCAUCCUGAAUGGAUGCAAGAGGAUCAUUUUUCUUCAUCCAAAGUGAAUUCCCUACCGUAUGCUAUGCCCAGGGGACAUGGCCAGUGAACAAGACAUGCAAACAUUAUUGCUGCUGCUCUGUUCACACAUGCAAGAGAGAGACAAUGAGUCAGCAAACACACACAUAAGUUGUUUUUGUAUAGCAAAAUGUACCAGAACAUAAGAUAUAGGGGACUGGUGGCUGGGCGUGGUGGCUCAUGCCUGUCAUCCCAGCACUGUGGGAGGCCGAGGCAGGUGGAUCACCUGAGGUCAGGAGUUGAGACCAGCCUGGGCAACAUGGGGAAACCCCAUCUCUACUAAAAAAUACAAGUCCCAGCUACUCAGGAGGCUGAGGCAGGGGAAUUGCUUGAACCUGGGAGGCGGAGGUUGCAGUGAGCCAAGAUCGCCCCACUGCAAUCCAGCCUGGGUGACAGGUAGAGACUCCAUCUCAAAAUGAUGAUGAUAAGAAGAAGAAGAAGAAGAAGAAGAAGGCUGGGCACGGUGGCUCACGCCUGUAAUCCCAUCACUUUGGGAGGCUGAGGCAGGCAGAUCACGAGGUCAGGAGUUCGAGACCAGUCUGACCAACAUGGUGAAGCCCCAUCUCUACUAAAACUACAAAAAUUAGUCGGGCAUGGUGGUGUACGCCUGUAAUCCCAGCUACUCAGGAGGCUGAGGCAGGAGAAUUGCUUGACCCUGGGAGGCAGAGGUUGCAGUGAGCCGAGAUCGUGCCACUGCACUCCAGCCUGGGUGACAGAGCAAGACUCCAUCUCAGAUAAUAAUAAUAAUAAUAAUGGCUCAAGCUAAUAAAAGAAGGCCUGUCAAUGCACCUAUAUCACCUUCUCUGUUGCAUUAUUAAAAAAAAAAAGAUAUAGGAGGCUGGGGUGAGCUACUUUAGAUGGAGUGGUCAGGGAAAGGCCUUUUGAGGGGAGGACUCUGAGCUGCUGGCUGAAGGAUAAGACAGAACCACCACCCAAAGCAUCUAAGAAAGGCUGCCAGUCCAGACACAGGCGCCCUGAGUGGUACACAAUAGGUGUGCUCAUCCGAGAGCAAUGAGGCUAGUGCCGCUGAAUUCAGAGUGAUUGAGGAACUGCGGUAGGAAAUGAGGCAAAUAAUGUGGUAUUGUCGCAACCAUGGAAAUGCAGGCUGAUGACACAGAACACUACAGAUUUCAGAAACAGAUGCACUUGAUCUGUGCACAAAGUCACAUUGCUUUUUUGCAGUCGAGAACAGACAUUUUUGUGGAGCUGUAUUCGGUCCAGGACCCCGACCUUACACCGUACCCCAAAUACAUUUCUAGAUGGUUCACAUGUCUAAGUGUGAAAGAUAAAACUAUAAAUAUUCAAGAGCAAGGCAUUGGGAAACAUCUCUGGGAUAUCAGGAUUGGCAAGGAUUUCUUUUUUCUUUCCUUUUUUUUUUUUUGAGACAGAUUCUUGCUCUGUUGCCCAGAAUGGAGUGCAGUGGCGCGAUCUUGGCUCACUGCCAGCCUCCGCUUCCUGGGUUCAAGCGAUUCUCCUGCCUCAGCCUCCCGAGUAGCUGGGACUACAGGCGCCCACCAUGCCCACCUAAUUUUUAUAUUUUUAGUAGAGACGGGGUUUCACCAUGUUGGCCAGGCUGAUCUCAAACUCCUGACAUCAA